Molecule: long non-coding RNA, 406 nt
Organism: Maniola jurtina (meadow brown)
Lineage: Eukaryota; Metazoa; Arthropoda; Insecta; Lepidoptera; Nymphalidae
Exons: 2
Source: RefSeq, a predicted model, not a curated record
GAUAACAAUUAAUUUGUAACAGCAUGUUAUUAUUUGAAAUAUUCAUAGCAAUGAAUACGUAUUUCUGUUGAAUUCAAAAUAAUUUAUUGUGAAAAAUCUGAUAAAAUUCAAGCUAUAAAUAAAAACGUAGUACAUAAAGGCGGUCACGGUACUUAAAUUUUUAUUUGCCACGUAAUUUUAAAAAAUGUUACUUUUCAUUUUAAUUUUAGCUGCAUCUAAUAUUGGCGUCCAUUCUCUACGAUGUGUAACACCUGCCAACCAACUUUGUUCUGGAUCAUACAAUCAAAUUACUUGCUCCAGAGAUCCAUAUGAAUCACCACCAAUUCUACCUUGUGAAGGAAUCUACUUACCACAAAAAGCCAUGCCAGUGCCAGUAGCUGUCAUGCCAGAAACAACCGUGUAUUUA